UAAACGACUCUCGGCAACGGAUAUCUUAGCUCUCGCAUCGAUGAAGAACAUAGCAAAAUGCGAUACUUGGUGUGAAUUGCAGAAUCCCGUGAACCAUCGAGUCUUCGAACGCAAGUUGCGCCCGAAGGCAUUAGGUCAAGGGCACGUCUGCCUGGGCGUCUCAC
Molecule: ribosomal RNA, 164 nt
Filed under: Camellia hongkongensis
Lineage: Eukaryota; Viridiplantae; Streptophyta; Magnoliopsida; Ericales; Theaceae
Description: 5.8S ribosomal RNA
Rfam family: 5.8S ribosomal RNA
About the family: 5.8S ribosomal RNA (5.8S rRNA) is a component of the large subunit of the eukaryotic ribosome.
Source: RNAcentral